This is a long non-coding RNA of Erigeron canadensis, 864 nucleotides long. RefSeq lists it as uncharacterized. The transcript is spliced from 3 exons. Lineage: Eukaryota; Viridiplantae; Streptophyta; Magnoliopsida; Asterales; Asteraceae. The record is from RefSeq and is a predicted model, not a curated record.
AUUAGUACGAAGUAGGAUUCGUCAAUAACAAAUAUAGGAAAAUUGUAAGGGUAGCAGAACACUGUCAUUUGAGCAUUCCCGAAGCAAAAGCUGGCAAGACUCGUAAAUUGUAUCACAGGCUUCUUAACCGUUCUCUAAUGGUUUUCUCAGUAAAUUAUCAACGCUUGGAAAAAUGGGAUAACUCAUAAGAGUUGAUGGCUUCGAGGCAUCUCCACCAAUUAAUACUAUUAGGAGUGAAUAGUUGUAAGCGGUUUCCCUUCCUGAAAGUUAAAAAGUUUGGCUCGGUUUCAAGUGGUGGCGGUGGUGUACCCGUGGGUAUGAUGAACCCAUCCUGUACCUCUAGCCGCACCCAAAUCCACCUCUCUAAUAUGUUAAUGUGACCUUUUUGACCCGUUUGGAACAACACAAAACCACACGCUGCUCAUUCAUUGGAAAUUGUGGCUUAAUUAUGACCGUUGUUGUAAAAAAACGUGUACAUGGAAUUGAAAGUAUAUGAAGAGUUGGAUGCUGAAAUUGAAAAGCUCAGAUUAGAGUGUCGUGCGAAAGCUCAUCUAUGUGACAACUUAAAGAGAUCACAUGCAGACCAAGUCAAAAGAAUCCAAGAACUAAAUCAGAAACUCGAGGUAUUUUCGCUUUUUAUCUCUAAAGUGAAAAUUACAAAAGAACUCUUAGAAGUUGGCAUAUUUAGCAAUUUUCGCCUCUGGUGCUAUGGCGUAAUUUGUUGUUAACAAUCUUGCGGGUUUCACGUGAGCGGAAGAAAGUCUUUCAACAUUUUUUGCAAGUUUUAAUUGCAGUUUCGUCCCUCAAGUUUUCACUUUUCAUUUUCAAAUAAAAUAUUAAUCCUUUUAUGCCUUUUUUAACACU